UCCGGUUUAACACCGGCAGUCUCCUUAGAGUUCCCGGCAUGACCCGCUGGUAACUAAGGACAAGGGUUUCGCUCGUUAAGGGACUUAACCCGACAUCUCACGACACGAGCUGACGACAGCCAUGCAGCACCUGUGCAAAGGCUCCCUUGCGGGCACCCCUCGCUUUCACGAGGGUUCCUAAGCAUGUCAAGACCAGGAUAAGGUUCUUCGCGUAGCCUCGAAUUAAGCCACAUCCUCCACCGCUUGUGUGAGCCCCCGUCAAUUCCUUUGAGUUUCAGCCUUGCGGCCGUACUCCCCAGGCGGGGCACUUAAUGCGUUAGCGCCGGCACCCAGGGGGUCGCUCCCCCAGGCACCUAGUGCCCAUCGUUUACGGCGUGGACUAC
RNAcentral lists this unclassified non-coding RNA (383 nucleotides) under uncultured Pirellulaceae bacterium. Its description in RNAcentral is "contains 16S-23S intergenic spacer region". The record is from RNAcentral. Lineage: Bacteria; Pseudomonadati; Planctomycetota; Planctomycetia; Pirellulales; Pirellulaceae.